This 200-nucleotide ribosomal RNA is filed under the name uncultured archaeon. RNAcentral describes it as "partial 16S ribosomal RNA". It matches the Rfam family "Archaeal small subunit ribosomal RNA", at positions 559 to 759 of the family's 1478-position model. The record is from RNAcentral.
CUAACGAGUGGGCGUCGGCGGAAACUACAGGGCUUGGGACCGGAAGACUUGAGGGGUACGUCUGGGGUAGGAGUGAAAUCCUGUAAUCCUGGACGGACCGCCGAUAGCGAAAGCACCUCAAGACGACGGAUCCGACAGUGAGGGACGAAAGCUAGGGUCUCGAACCGGAUUAGAUACCCGGGUAGUCCCAGCUGUAAACG